CAAUAGCAUAUAUUAACGUUGUUGCAGUUGAAAAGCUCGUAGUUGAACUUUUGGUAGGAGCGACCUGGCCUUGGGCGCAUGCCCUUGUUUGCCGUGUGUCGUAUCUGGCCAUCCUUUUCCGCUUCGGCGGGAAUCCUUUACUGUGAGUAAACUGGAGUGCUCAAAACAAGACGUUUGUUUGGUACAUUAAAGCAUGGAAUAAUAAGAGAGGACCUGGUUACUAUUUUGUUGGUUUGCAUAGCUAGGUAAUGAUUAACAGGGACAGUUGGGGGUAUUCGUAUUUAAUUGUCAGAGGUGAAAUUCUUGGAUUUAUGAAAGACGAACGACUGCGAAAGCAUUUACCAAGGAUGUUUUCAUUAA
RNAcentral lists this ribosomal RNA (360 nucleotides) under uncultured eukaryote. RNAcentral describes it as "partial 18S ribosomal RNA". It matches the Rfam family "Eukaryotic small subunit ribosomal RNA", at positions 592 to 976 of the family's 1831-position model. The record is from RNAcentral.